CAAUAGCGUAUAUUAAAGUUGUUGCAGUUAAAAAGCUCGUAGUUGGAUUUGUGGCUGUCACGGGCGGCCUAUCACUUAGUGUUAGUGCUUGCCUGUGUCGCCAUCCUUGGGUGGAGCCCGUGUGGCAUUAGGUUGUCGUGCGGGGGAUGCCCCUCGUUUACUGUGAGAAAAUUAGAGUGUUCAAAGCAGGCUUAUGCCGUUGAAUAUGUUAGCAUGGAAUAAUAAGAUAGGACCUCGGUACUAUUUUGUUGGUUUGCGCACCGAGGUAAUGAUUAAUAGGGACAGUUGGGGGUAUUCGUAUUUCAUUGUCAGAGGUGAAAUUCUUGGAUUUCUGAAAGACGAACUACUGCGAAAGCAUUUACCAAGGAUGUUUUCAUUAA
RNAcentral lists this ribosomal RNA (380 nucleotides) under uncultured eukaryote. RNAcentral describes it as "partial 18S ribosomal RNA". It matches the Rfam family "Eukaryotic small subunit ribosomal RNA", at positions 592 to 976 of the family's 1831-position model. The record is from RNAcentral.